UAAACAUUAAAAUUAGAGUUGUUCGAAAUGUUGUGAGUAAUAUCGUAAAAGACAUUACACAUUUUGCUUAUUUAAAUUGAUAGCUCUGGCAACCCUAAAUAAGUAUUUUGACAGCGAUUUCUUUUUUUGAGUGCUGUUGCAUACAAAGAGUAUCACUAAAUUGCAAUGAAUGUGCCGGUCAUUAUUUGAACAAUUUUGUAUAAAUUUUAGUGAUAAUAAUUUAUUGAUGUGAAAUUAAAUUUUAAUUUUCAUUAUAAUGAAUUUAAUGAAAAUUGUCUUGACGCAAUUAAUCAAAUACAAAAAAUGACUUGACAAAUGCUGUAACGGGACUUCUGUCGAUUAGGACACAAAGUUUGCAUAAAAUGUUCAGCUAUAAAAUAAUUUGGACAAAUAGAAACAAAACAGUGUCUCACUAAACUACGCUACUUCAAGUUUGGAAAUUAGAAAACAGAAUUAAAAACGUGUUUUUGUAUGAUUCUUAAAAUAUUUGACAUUAGUGUUUCACAUUAAAAAUAUAUUUAUUAUUGCCAAUAAAUAAUGACUCCGUUGGACCUCAAAUGCAUAAGUAUAAAGCACGCAAUAAAAAUGGGGACAAUAAUCAAAAUAGUUUGUCUUAAGUCAAAGGCAUUGAAAUUUCAAUGAUGGAAUGCGAUUUUGAAUUUUAUUAAUGUUUCCUUCCAAUUGUUGCAGUCACCGUUUCAGCACUGAAGAAUAAAAAUUUGAUUAUAAAGAAAAUGAAUUAAAAAUAACUUCUCUGCAGUUACAAUAACCCAGGAAUUCCCCAAAAACACAAAUAAAGUAUUUGUGGAAAGAGUAUGGCAAUUUUCGAUGUCAGGACAUUUGAUCAAAAAACAAAUACUGAAUUUAGUACUACCAAUUUAUUUCUCCAUAAGUCUCAUCUGCCGUAAUAUUUAAACAUCCCAGUCUUAAAGAAUGUUUAUAUGUAUUCCUGUUUAAAAAAUAUUGUUAUCUACUCACCAAGCAAGAGAUAACACACAUUAGUUUAUUGGAAUAAUUAUUAAACUCAGCAUAAAAAAAUGAUUGAAUGCAACAACAACAUGAUCUUCAAAAAACAAAAACUUAAGCAAGUCAUCAAAGCUAAGUGCAAGUUUUA
Molecule: long non-coding RNA, 1114 nt
Organism: Teleopsis dalmanni
Lineage: Eukaryota; Metazoa; Arthropoda; Insecta; Diptera; Diopsidae
Exons: 4
Source: RefSeq, a predicted model, not a curated record